RNAcentral lists this ribosomal RNA (494 nucleotides) under Veillonella parvula. RNAcentral describes it as "bacterial SSU rRNA". It matches the Rfam family "Bacterial small subunit ribosomal RNA", at positions 28 to 492 of the family's 1533-position model. Lineage: Bacteria; Bacillati; Bacillota; Negativicutes; Veillonellales; Veillonellaceae. The record is from RNAcentral.
GACGAACGCUGGCGGCGUGCUUAACACAUGCAAGUCGGACGAAGAGCGACGGAAGCUUGCUUCUAUCAAUCUUAGUGGCGAACGGGUGAGUAACGCGUAAUCAACCUGCCCUUCAGAGGGGGACAACAGUUGGAAACGACUGCUAAUACCGCAUACGAUCUAAUCUCGGCAUCGAGGAUGGAUGAAAGGUGGCCUCUACAUGUAAGCUAUCACUGAAGGAGGGGAUUGCGUCUGAUUAGCUAGUUGGAGGGGUAACGGCCCACCAAGGCGAUGAUCAGUAGCCGGUCUGAGAGGAUGAACGGCCACAUUGGGACUGAGACACGGCCCAGACUCCUACGGGAGGCAGCAGUGGGGAAUCUUCCGCAAUGGACGAAAGUCUGACGGAGCAACGCCGCGUGAGUGAUGACGGCCUUCGGGUUGUAAAGCUCUGUUAAUCGGGACGAAAGGCCUUCUUGCGAAUAGUGAGAAGGAUUGACGGUACCGGAUAGAAAGCC